UACGAAGGGGGCAAGCGUUGUUCGGAAUUAUUGGGCGUAAAGGGAGCGUAGGCGGUUCGGCAAGUCUUUAGUGAAAUCGUCUGGGCUCAACUCAGAGUCUGCUGGAGCAAACUGCCGGGCUGGAGUAUGGGAGGAGGUGAGUGGAAUUCCCGGUGUAGCGGUAGAAAUGCGUAGAUAGUCGGGAGGAACACCUGUGGCGAAAGCGGCUCACUGGACCAUUACUGACGCUGAUGCUCGAAAGCUAGGGGAGCAAACAGGG
This 259-nucleotide ribosomal RNA is filed under the name uncultured bacterium. Its description in RNAcentral is "partial 16S ribosomal RNA". It matches the Rfam family "Bacterial small subunit ribosomal RNA", at positions 524 to 777 of the family's 1533-position model. The record is from RNAcentral.